This 540-nucleotide ribosomal RNA is filed under the name uncultured bacterium. Its description in RNAcentral is "bacterial SSU rRNA". It matches the Rfam family "Bacterial small subunit ribosomal RNA", at positions 971 to 1509 of the family's 1533-position model. The record is from RNAcentral.
UUACCUGGCCUUGACAUACUAAGAACUUUCCAGAGAUGGAUUGGUGCCUUCGGGAACUUAGAUACAGGUGCUGCAUGGCUGUCGUCAGCUCGUGUCGUGAGAUGGUUGGGUUAAGUCCCGCAACGAGCGCAACCCUUUUCCUUAUUUGCCAGCGGGUUAAGCCGGGAACUUUAAGGAUACUGCCAGUGACAAACUGGAGGAAGGCGGGGACGACGUCAAGUCAUCAUGGCCCUUACGGCCAGGGCUACACACGUGCUACAAUGGUCGGUACAAAGGGUUGCUACCUCGCGAGAGGAUGCUAAUCUCAAAAAGCCGAUCGUAGUCCGGAUCGCAGUCUGCAACUCGACUGCGUGAAGUCGGAAUCGCUAGUAAUCGCGGAUCAGAAUGCCGCGGUGAAUACGUUCCCGGGCCUUGUACACACCGCCCGUCACACCAUGGGAGUUUGUUGCACCAGAAGUAGGUAGUCUAACCGCAAGGAGGACGCUUACCACGGUGUGGCCGAUGACUGGGGUGAAGUCGUAACAAGGUAGGCGUAGAUGA